AUUACAAUCAAAUAAUAUAAGCAUGUAUAACAAGAAGAGAUCAGAAGCCAUAUACCAACAUGAAGAUGAUAAUAUGAUAAUCAUGAGAUCUCCACAAGAAUCCAAAGUAGAAGCCCUCCUAUGGUGAUCCACACAGGACUGAUCAGGGCCCUUUUCAAUUCGAUGUAGUGCUAUAGCCUUCUUUGCAAGUUUGCUGCUGAUCGUCCUUCGC
Molecule: long non-coding RNA, 211 nt
Filed under: Elaeis guineensis (African oil palm)
Lineage: Eukaryota; Viridiplantae; Streptophyta; Magnoliopsida; Arecales; Arecaceae
Description: long non-coding RNA (EGUI_LNC047685)
Source: RNAcentral